AAAUUGAAGAGUUUGAUCAUGGCUCAGAUUGAACGCUGGCGGCAGGCCUAACACAUGCAAGUCGAACGGUAACAGAAAGCAGCUUGCUGCUUUGCUGACGAGUGGCGGACGGGUGAGUAAUGUCUGGGAAACUGCCUGAUGGAGGGGGAUAACUACUGGAAACGGUAGCUAAUACCGCAUAAUGUCGCAAGACCAAAGAGGGGGACCUUCGGGCCUCUUGCCAUCGGAUGUGCCCAGGUGGGAUUAGCUAGUAGGUGGGGUAACGGCUCACCUAGGCGACGAUCCCUAGCUGGUCUGAGAGGAUGACCAGCCACACUGGAACUGAGACACGGUCCAGACUCCUACGGGAGGCAGCAGUGGGG
RNAcentral lists this ribosomal RNA (362 nucleotides) under Escherichia coli. RNAcentral's name for it is "bacterial SSU rRNA". It matches the Rfam family "Bacterial small subunit ribosomal RNA", at positions 1 to 359 of the family's 1533-position model. The record is from RNAcentral. Lineage: Bacteria; Pseudomonadati; Pseudomonadota; Gammaproteobacteria; Enterobacterales; Enterobacteriaceae.